UCCGCCAGGGUGUUUCCCAGCACGACUCCGUAGGUGAACCUGCGGAAGGAUCAUUACCACACCAAAAAACACCCCACGUGAAUGUACUCUUUAUGAGGCUUGCGCUGCCCUUGUGGCGGCUAGCCGAAGGUUUCGCAAGAAGCCGAUGUCAAUUUGAAUCCUUUUUAAACUACGACUGAUCAAAACUGCAGAUAGAAAUGUCUGCAUGCAAUUGAAAUACAACUUUCAACAGUGGAUGUCUAGGCUCGCACACCGAUGAAGAACGCUGCGAACUGCGAUACGUAAUGCGAAUUGCAGAAUUCAGUGAGUCAUCAAAAUUUUGAACGCAUAUUGCACUUCCGGGUUAGUCCUGGGAGUAUGUUUGUAUCAGUGUCCGUGAACACAACCUUGUUUCAUUUCUUGAUUGAGAUGGAGCAGAAUGUGAAGGUCUUGUAAUUACAAGUCCUUUUAAACGACGGUACCUAUGCGUCCUCGUGAGAUGUAUUAUUUAAAGGUAUGCCUGCGCUUCUUUCGAGAGUUUUGUGUGGCGGCACACAGCAUUCAAAGAGAGAGCAAAUCGCGGUAGUUUUGCUUGUAUUUCGGUACGAGUGGACACAUAUUGCUUUUUGUGAUUUCUGCGAGUCUGUUGUUUAAGCACAGGACACGUAAGGAGAGUGAGUAUGCUGGUGCAUUUCUUGGCGCAUGGAGGCAAAUUGGGGAAUUCAAUCCAAUUUGGACCUGAUAUCAAACAAGACUACCCGCUGAACUUAGAGCAUAUCAAUUAAGCGGAGGACCUGUGUGAAAUGUAUAUCCGCUUCA
This 798-nucleotide ribosomal RNA is filed under the name Saprolegnia ferax. RNAcentral describes it as "eukaryotic LSU rRNA". The stretch from base 221 to 375 matches the Rfam family "5.8S ribosomal RNA". The record is from RNAcentral. Lineage: Eukaryota; Oomycota; Saprolegniomycetes; Saprolegniales; Saprolegniaceae.